RNAcentral lists this ribosomal RNA (872 nucleotides) under uncultured beta proteobacterium. RNAcentral's name for it is "bacterial SSU rRNA". It matches the Rfam family "Bacterial small subunit ribosomal RNA", at positions 59 to 880 of the family's 1533-position model. The record is from RNAcentral. Lineage: Bacteria; Pseudomonadati; Pseudomonadota; Betaproteobacteria.
UAGCCGGCAGGCGCGGACUUCGGCCUGGCGGUAGUGGCGAACGGGUGAGUAUAUAUCGGAACGUACCCAGAGAGUCGGGGGAUAACGUAGCGAAAGUUACGCUGAAUACCUGCAUACGUCCUAAGAGGUGAAAGUGGGGGAUCCGCACAGACCUCAGUGCUCAUGGAGCGGCCGAUAUCUGAUUAGCUAGUUGGUGGGGUAAAAGGCUCACCAAGGCAACGGAUCAGUAGCUGGUCUGAGAGGACGACCAGCCACGACGUGGAACUGAGACACGGUCCAGACUCCUAACGGGAGGCAGCAGUGGGGAAUUUUGGACAAUGGACGCAAGUCUGAUCCAGCCAUUCCGCGUGCAGGACGAAGGCCUUCGGGUUGUAAACUGCUUUUGUACAGAACGAAAAGGUUUCUAUUAAUACUAGGAGCUCAUGACGGUACUGUAAGAAUAAGCACCGGCUAACUACGUGCCAGCAGCCGCGGUAAUACGUAGGGUGCAAGCGUUAAUCGGAAUUACUGGGCGUAAAGCGUGCGCAGGCGGUUAUGUCAAGACAGAGGUGAAAUCCCCGGGCUCAACCUGGGAACUGCCUUUGUGACUGCAUAGCUGGAGUACGGCAGAGGGGGAUGGAAUUCCGCGUGUAGCAGUGAAAUGCGUAGAUUGCGGAGGAGACACCGAUGGCGGAAAAGGGGCAUUCCCCCUUGGGGGCCUGGUUACCUUGGGACCGCUUCAUUGGCCGAAAAGGCCGUUGGGGGGCAGCCCAAACUGGGAUUUGCAUUCCCCUGGUUAGUUCCACGGCCCUUACUCGAUGUCAACUGGGUUGUUGGGUCUUUCACUGGAUCCCGUCGAAGCUAACCGUUGCAAUUUGACCGCUCCUGGGGAU